Molecule: ribosomal RNA, 253 nt
Filed under: uncultured bacterium
Lineage: Bacteria
Description: partial 16S ribosomal RNA
Rfam family: Bacterial small subunit ribosomal RNA
Source: RNAcentral
UACGUAGGGUGCGAGCGUUGUCCGGAAUUAUUGGGCGUAAAGGGCUCGUAGGCGGUCUGUUGCGUCGGGAGUGAAAACUCAGGGCUUAACCCUGAGCCUGCUUCCGAUACGGGCAGACUAGAGGUAUGCAGGGGAGAACGGAAUUCCUGGUGUAGCGGUGAAAUGCGCAGAUAUCAGGAGGAACACCGGUGGCGAAGGCGGUUCUCUGGGCAUUACCUGACGCUGAGACGCGAAAGCGUGGGGAGCAAACAGG